Molecule: ribosomal RNA, 398 nt
Filed under: uncultured bacterium
Lineage: Bacteria
Description: bacterial SSU rRNA
Rfam family: Bacterial small subunit ribosomal RNA
Source: RNAcentral
GACGAACGCUGGCGGCGUGCUUAACACAUGCAAGUCGAGCGGUAAGGCCCUUUCGGGGGUACACGAGCGGCGAACGGGUGAGUAACACGUGGGUGACCUGCCCUCAGCUCUGGGAUAAGCCUGGGAAACCGGGUCUAAUACUGGAUAUGACUCCAUGACGCAUGUUGUGGGGUGGAAAGCCUUGUGCGGCUGAGGAUGGGCCCGCGGCCUAUCAGCUUGUUGGUGGGGUGAUGGCCUACCAAGGCGACGACGGGUAGCCGGCCUGAGAGGGCGACCGGCCACACUGGGACUGAGGCACGGCCCAGACUCCUACGGGAGGCAGCAGUGGGGAAUCUUGCGCAAUGGGCGAAAGCCUGACGCAGCGACGCCGCGUGAGGGAUGACGGCCUCGGUUGUAAC